GACGAACGCUGGCGGCGUGCUUAACACAUGCAAGUCGAACGGAAAGGCCCUGCUUUCAGGGUACUCGAGUGGCGAACGGGUGAGUAACACGUGGGUGAUCUGCCCUGCACUUCUGGAUAAGCUUGGGAAACUGGGGCUAAUACCGGGUAGGACCGCACCUGCGUGUGGGUGGUGGAAAGUUUUUUCGGUGUAGGGUGGGUGGGCGGGCUAUCAGCUUGUUGGUGGGUGAAGGGCUGGCCAAGGAGGCGAUGGGUAGGCGGCCUGAGAGGGUGUACGGCCACCAUUGGACUGGGGUAAGGCCCAGAAUCCCACGGGAGGCCACAGGUGGGAAUAAUGCACCAUGGGGGCGAGCCUGAUGCAGGGAAGCCGGGUGGGGGAAGAAGGCCUUCGGGUUGUAAAAUCCUUUCGCUCGGGAAGAAGCUUUUUGUGACGGUAACUAGAUAAGAAGCACCGGCUAACUACGUG
RNAcentral lists this ribosomal RNA (465 nucleotides) under uncultured bacterium. RNAcentral describes it as "partial 16S ribosomal RNA". It matches the Rfam family "Bacterial small subunit ribosomal RNA", at positions 28 to 507 of the family's 1533-position model. The record is from RNAcentral.